UCAAUUGUUCUUGGGUCCGGAAGCUAUUAGAUUCUUUAUGAAUUUCUUGUGGUUUUCUAACUAGGGAUUGGGUGCAGGACUGGCUAUUGGCUUGUAUUCCGACAUCACAUAUGGCCUACAAGAAGCUUGGGGAGCUCAUGAUUGGAAAAACAGUGUGGUGGCAGGGGCAUUGACAAGAGCGGCAUUGGUGCUCACUUGCGAGGACACCUCUCAUGAGCAGGUUAUUCAUUGCGCCAUCACUGGAGCAGCGCUCUCAACAGCUGUGAAUCUUCUCGCCGGGGCUCAACAAUUGGGUUUGGUUUUCGCAAUAAACAUGGUAAACUAUCUUAACCUCAGAAUCUCUCUAGACUGAGCUGAUUACGUUUCCCUUACCAUUCGUAGCCCCACUUGGUCUAGAACGAGCUCCCCUUGGGUCAGGAGUGUAUCAAGCAUAUCAAAAAACCAGGUAUAUCAAAGGCCAUCGCAUUGUGGAGCUCUUCAUCUGCUUGAUGGACUUUCAUUGAAUUGUCUUUUUAUUUUGAAGUUUUCCAUUGUAGAUUUAAUUUUUUACUGUCAGCUUUGUAAGUCAGAUAAAUAAUGUUUCAAAUUACAUUAUGGUUGUUUUUACUAUCUUUUGAUUCUUAAAUGAAUAUGGCUUAAAUA
Magnolia sinica is the source of this 642-nucleotide long non-coding RNA. RefSeq lists it as uncharacterized. NCBI's taxonomy places the organism in Eukaryota, Viridiplantae, Streptophyta, Magnoliopsida, Magnoliales, Magnoliaceae. The record is from RefSeq and is a predicted model, not a curated record. The transcript has 4 exons.